RNAcentral lists this ribosomal RNA (492 nucleotides) under uncultured bacterium. RNAcentral describes it as "partial 16S ribosomal RNA". It matches the Rfam family "Bacterial small subunit ribosomal RNA", at positions 29 to 507 of the family's 1533-position model. The record is from RNAcentral.
AGUGAACGCUGGCGGUAGGCCUAACACAUGCAAGUCGAACGGCAGCACAGUAAGAGCUUGCUCUUACGGGUGGCGAGUGGCGGACGGGUGAGGAAUACAUCGGAAUCUACUUUUUCGUGGGGGAUAACGUAGGGAAACUUACGCUAAUACCGCAUACGACCUACGGGUGAAAGCAGGGGAUCUUCGGACCUUGCGCGAUUGAAUGAGCCGAUGUCGGAUUAGCUAGUUGGCGGGGUAAAGGCCCACCAAGGCGACGAUCCGUAGCUGGUCGGAGAGGAUGAUCGGCCACACUGGAACUGGGACACGGUCCAGGCUCCUACGGGAGGCAGCAGUGGGGAAUAUUGGGCAAUGGGCGCAAGCCUGAUCCAGCCAUACCGCGUGGGUGAAGAAGGCCUUCGGGUUGUAAAGCCCUUUUGUUGGGAAAGAAAAGCAGCAGGUUAAUACCCCGCUGUUCUGACGGUACCCAAAGAAUAAGCACCGGCUAACUUCGUG